GUGCCAGCAGCCGCGGUAAGACGAAGGAUUCAAGCGUUGUCCGGAUUUACUGGGUUUAAAGGGUGCGUAGGCGGAAAUAUAAGUCAGUGGUGAAAUCCCGCAGCUCAACUGCGGAACUGCCAUUGAAACUGCAUUUCUUGAAUACGGUUGAGGUAGAUGGAAUGUAACAUGUAGCGGUGAAAUGCUUAGAUAUGUUACAGAACUCCGAUUGCGAAGGCAGUCUACUAAGCCGUUAUUGACGCUGAGGCACGAAAGCGUGGGGAGCAAACAGGAUUAGAUACCCUAGUAGUCC
This 292-nucleotide ribosomal RNA is filed under the name uncultured bacterium. RNAcentral's name for it is "partial 16S ribosomal RNA". It matches the Rfam family "Bacterial small subunit ribosomal RNA", at positions 505 to 796 of the family's 1533-position model. The record is from RNAcentral.